UACGUAGGCAGCGAGCGUUGUUCGGAGUUACUGGGCGUAAAGGGUGUGUAGGCGGUUGUUUAAGUUUGGUGUGAAAUCUCCCGGCUCAACUGGGAGGGUGCGCCGAAUACUGAAUGACUAGAGUGCGGGAGAGGAAAGUGGAAUUCCUGGUGUAGCGGUGAAAUGCGUAGAGAUGCGGAGGAACACCCGUGGCGAAGGCGGCUCUCUGGGACGGUACUGACGCUGAGACGCGAAAGCGUGGGGAGCAAACAGG
This 253-nucleotide ribosomal RNA is filed under the name uncultured bacterium. RNAcentral's name for it is "partial 16S ribosomal RNA". It matches the Rfam family "Bacterial small subunit ribosomal RNA", at positions 524 to 776 of the family's 1533-position model. The record is from RNAcentral.